Molecule: ribosomal RNA, 529 nt
Filed under: uncultured bacterium
Lineage: Bacteria
Description: bacterial SSU rRNA
Rfam family: Bacterial small subunit ribosomal RNA
Source: RNAcentral
AGAGUUUGAUCCUGGCUCAGAACGAACGCUGGCGGCGUGCUUAACACAUGCAAGUCGUACGAGAAAGUCUCUUCGGAGAUGAGUAAAGUGGCGCACGGGUGAGUAACACGUAGGUAACCUACCUCAGGGACCGGGACAACCCGCCGAAAGGAGGGCUAAUACCGGAUUAGACCACGGGGGCUUCGGCUCCAGCGGUAAAAGUUGGCCUCUGCAUGCAAGCUAACACCAAGAGAUGGGCCCGCGGACCAUUAGCUUGUUGGUGGGGUAAUGGCCCACCAAGGCUGAGAUGGAUAGCUGGUCUGAGAGGAUGAUCAGCCACACUGGGACUGAGACACGGCCCAGACUCCUACGGGAGGCAGCAGUGGGGAAUCUUGGGCAAUGGGCGCAAGCCUGACCCAGCAACGCCGCGUGGGUGAUGAAGGCCCCUCGGGUCGUAAAGCCCUGUCAGAGGGAACGAAUGUUCCCGGGGACGAAUAAUUCCGGGAAGUGACGGGACCCCUCAGAGGAAGCACCGGGCUAACUCCGUGCC